RNAcentral lists this ribosomal RNA (469 nucleotides) under uncultured bacterium. RNAcentral describes it as "bacterial SSU rRNA". It matches the Rfam family "Bacterial small subunit ribosomal RNA", at positions 355 to 822 of the family's 1533-position model. The record is from RNAcentral.
UGGGGAAUUUUGGACAAUGGGCGCAAGCCUGAUCCAGCCAUGCCGCGUGUGUGAAGAAGGCCUUCGGGUUGUAAAGCACUUUCGGACGGAACGAAAUCGCGCGGGUUAACAGCGCGCGUGGAUGACGGUACCGUAAGAAGAAGCACCGGCUAACUACGUGCCAGCAGCCGCGGUAAUACGUAGGGUGCGAGCGUUAAUCGGAAUUACUGGGCGUAAAGGGUGCGCAGGCGGCCCCGCAAGUCAGGCGUGAAAUCCCCGGGCUUAGCUUGGGAAUGGCGCUUGAAACUACGAGGCUAGAGUGUGGCAGAGGGAGGUGGAAUUCCACGUGUAGCGGUGAAAUGCGUAGAGAUGUGGAGGAACACCGAUGGCGAAGGCAGCCUCCUGGGCCAACACUGACGCUCAUGCACGAAAGCGUGGGGAGCAAACAGGAUUAGAUACCCACGUAGUCCCUGAGCGGGCUGGCAAGGCG